RNAcentral lists this ribosomal RNA (253 nucleotides) under uncultured bacterium. Its description in RNAcentral is "partial 16S ribosomal RNA". It matches the Rfam family "Bacterial small subunit ribosomal RNA", at positions 524 to 776 of the family's 1533-position model. The record is from RNAcentral.
UACGGAGGGGGCUAGCGUUGUUCGGAAUUACUGGGCGUAAAGCGCACGUAGGCGGAUAGUCAAGUCGGGGGUGAAAUCCCGGGGCUCAACCCCGGAACUGCCUUCGAUACUGGCUGUCUGGAGGUCGAGAGAGGUGAGUGGAAUUCCGAGUGUAGAGGUGAAAUUCGUAGAUAUUCGGAGGAACACCAGUGGCGAAGGCGGCUCACUGGCUCGAUACUGACGCUGAGGUGCGAAAGCGUGGGGAGCAAACAGG